AUGGCGUGUUUGGUCUCAUACUCGAACGUCCCCCUCGCCUUUUACUAGGGAGACCCGGGGAUCAAGCACAAAUGCCAUAUUACCAAUCUUUCGCAACCACCUUGGUGGUC
Molecule: small nuclear RNA, 110 nt
Filed under: Melampsora larici-populina 98AG31
Lineage: Eukaryota; Fungi; Basidiomycota; Pucciniomycetes; Pucciniales; Melampsoraceae
Description: U5 spliceosomal RNA
Rfam family: U5 spliceosomal RNA
About the family: U5 RNA is a component of both types of known spliceosome. The precise function of this molecule is unknown, though it is known that the 5' loop is required for splice site selection and p220 binding, and that both the 3' stem-loop and the Sm site are important for Sm protein binding and cap methylation.
Source: Rfam by way of RNAcentral